Anolis carolinensis (green anole) is the source of this 1524-nucleotide long non-coding RNA. RefSeq lists it as uncharacterized. NCBI's taxonomy places the organism in Eukaryota, Metazoa, Chordata, Lepidosauria, Squamata, Anolidae. The transcript is spliced from 3 exons. The record is from RefSeq and is a predicted model, not a curated record.
AGGUAUGUUGUGCCCCGCCUCGAGCCAUGAGGAGAGGCAGGAACGGGGAAAACCAGUUCCAAUCAAUGAACACAAAUAGGAUGCUGGUCCUUGGCAUGUUUCUCCUGGUCCCCACAUCAGAUAGCUUAUGUGCUGCCCUGUUUUUUUGGAACUGACGAGGAUGAAGCCUGACAUGACAGGGGAAUUCUCUCAGCUCCUGUUCUUCUAGAAGUAAGAGGUAUGUCACUGUAAUUACCUCUUCUGCUGCCAUCACUUAAGCAAUUGUGUUUUGUUAUUGUAUACUUUUAAAUAUAUCAAAAUCAUUGUACUGCUGCUGUAUUUACCUCCUGUUAUCGGGAUAGCAUGUAGCCACCUUCCCCAGGAAAGCCUGCAUAUUGUGUGAGUUGUGGAGACUUAAACUCCCACCGAAACAAGUUUAAGUGAUGUCUGGAAGUGUCCUAAGAGAAUGGGAUUUUCUAUGACUGGUUUCUAUGGCUGAGUGGGAAUUUGAACUCUGGUCUUCUAUUUACACUGUGUAAUUAAUCCACUUUCAUGCUACUUUUACUACUAUGGCUCAAUGUUAUGGAAUCCUGGGAACUCGUUUGGUGAGGUGCCAAUAUUUUUUGGCAAAUAAUACUAAAUAUCUCGUAAAACUACAACUCCCAUUAAUACCAUAGCAUUGAAACAUGGCAGUUAUUGUAGUGCCAAACAGUAUUAAUUCAACAGAAUAGAUCUACUUGUACUGUCUUAGUCCAAUGCUCAAAUCCCUGUGCCAUUUUACCUCUCAAGGGGCCCUUGUAGACUUCACCAGAUAUUCUACAUAAAUCAGAAAAAAAUUAAAACACAACAACAACAACAACAACAACAACAACAACAACAACAACAACAACAACAUUUGAUUGUGGUAACAGUGGUCUUUGUUAUAUUUCAGAAGUGGAUGGCUGUGUUGAGGUGGGCCCAGUCCCCCCAACCCCAGGAGGAUAUGCUAGCAUAUUUCUGGCAAACUGGGAAUGAUUCUGGCUUUAGUUUAAGAAAAUGGAUCAGCUGUUUUCCUGAUCCAUGAGGGAAGAAGUAUGGAGAGCAAUUAGUACUAUGCUGCAAUUUGGAAGAGUUUCAGAUGGUUUAUUUGCUCCUCCCCCAGUAGACAUUUUUGAGGCAGUGAGGGCUUUGCAGUGCCCUGGAGCUAUUAGGGGACCAAGAAUGUGGCUGCAUGCUACAUUUUAUCUAACCUGAUGAAUAUCAAUCUGUCAGUAUUUUAGUUCUGCAGGGGGUCCUCUUUAGGUUAGGAAGGCAGCUAUUAGUCAUCCACUACUUGACAGAAGUUUUCAUGUAGGAAGGUGGCAGAAAAUAGAUCAAAACCCACAAUACAUUUCUGUGUGAUCUGAAAAGAUUGGCAGGGAUUAUUGACUUGAAUAAUUUAACAACAGGAACAAAACAAAUGACUUACAUUCCUCAUUGUAAAUUAUGCCACUUAGAUAAUGAAUGUUUCAUGUAAUCAGGGAUGGAGUUUUGUGUAGGAAGUCCUAAGCUUGAAUAAAAUUUGGU